This is a long non-coding RNA of Oncorhynchus tshawytscha (Chinook salmon), 407 nucleotides long. The record is from Ensembl. NCBI's taxonomy places the organism in Eukaryota, Metazoa, Chordata, Actinopteri, Salmoniformes, Salmonidae.
GAGAGUGUGUGAGAGGGUGUGUGAGAGAGUGUGUGAGAGGGUGUGUGAGAGGGUGUGUGAGAGGGUGUGUGAGAGGGUGUGUGAGAGGGUGUGUGAGAGGGUGUCUGAGAGAGUGUGUGAGAGGGUGUGUGAGAGAGUGUGUGAGAGGGUGUGUGAGAGAGUGUGUGAGAGGGUGUGUGAGAGGGUGUGUGUGAGAGGGUGUGUGAGAGAGUGUGUGAGAGGGUGUGUGAGAGGGUGUCUGAGAGAGUGUGUGAGAGGGUGUGUGAGAGAGUGUGUGAGAGGGUGUGUGAGAGGGUGUGUGAGAGGGUGUGUGAGAGGGUGUGUGAGAGGGUGUGAGAGGGUGUGUGAGAGAGUGUGUGAGAGGGUGUCUGAGAGGGUGUGAGAGGGUGUGUGAGAGAGAGGGUGUG